AGCUCAAGAGGACAGAGCAUCGGACUUCUAAUCCGAUGGUUGGGAGUUCGAGAGGAGUUGACUUUUA
RNAcentral lists this transfer RNA (67 nucleotides) under Caldisericota bacterium. RNAcentral describes it as "tRNA-Arg". Lineage: Bacteria; Pseudomonadati; Caldisericota. The record is from RNAcentral.